RNAcentral lists this ribosomal RNA (433 nucleotides) under uncultured bacterium. RNAcentral's name for it is "partial 16S ribosomal RNA". It matches the Rfam family "Bacterial small subunit ribosomal RNA", at positions 29 to 507 of the family's 1533-position model. The record is from RNAcentral.
AACGAACGCUGGCGGCAUGCCUAACACAUGCAAGUCGAACGAGACCUUCGGGUCUAGUGGCGCACGGGUGCGUAACGCGUGGGAACCUGCCCUUAGGUUCGGAAUAACUCCCCGAAAGGGGUGCCAAUACCGGAUAAUGUCUUCGGACCAAAGAUUUAUCGCCUUUGGAUGGGCCCGCGUUGGAUUAGCUAGUUGGUAGGGUAAAAGCCUACCAAGGCGACGAUCCAUAGCUGGUCUGAGAGGAUGAUCAGCCACACUGGGACUGAGACACGGCCCAGACUCCUACGGGAGGCAGCAGUGGGGAAUAUUGGACAAUGGGCGAAAGCCCGAUCCAGCAAUGCCGCGUGAGUGAUGAAGGCCUUAGGGUUGUAAAGCUCUUUUACCCGGGAUGAUAAUGACAGUACCGGGAGAAUAAGCUCCGGCUAACUCCGUG